This 786-nucleotide ribosomal RNA is filed under the name uncultured bacterium. RNAcentral's name for it is "bacterial SSU rRNA". It matches the Rfam family "Bacterial small subunit ribosomal RNA", at positions 8 to 796 of the family's 1533-position model. The record is from RNAcentral.
AGAGUUUGAUCAUGGCUCAGAACGAACGCUGGCGGCGUGCUUAACACAUGCAAGUCGAGUGCGCGCCUGUAGCAAUACAGGUGGCGCACGGCGCACGGGUGCGUAACACGUGGGCAAUCUGCCCUCUGAUGGGGAAUAACCCGCCGAAAGGCGGGCUAAUACCGCAUAAAAUUCCUUGGACUUAUGUUCGAGGACUCAAAGGCGUAAGUCGUCGGAGGAGGAGCCCGCGCACGAUUAGCUAGUUGGUAGGGUAAUGGCCUACCAAGGCUUUGAUCGUUAGCUGGUCUGAGAGGAUGGCCAGCCACACUGGAACUGAGACACGGUCCAGACUCCUACGGGAGGCAGCAGUGGGGAAUCUUGCACAAUGGGCGAAAGCCUGAUGCAGCGACGCCGCGUGGGGGAUGAAGCAUUUCGGUGUGUAAACCCCUUUCGAUCCGGACGAAUGCCUCGCAAGAGGAGUGACGGUACGGAUAUAAGAAGCCCCGGCUAACUACGUGCCAGCAGCCGCGGUAAGACGUAGGGGGCCAGCGUUGUUCGGAAUUACUGGGUGUAAAGGGUUCGUAGGCGGUGUGGCAAGUUGGGUGUGAAAUCUCUGGGCUCAACCCAGAGACUGCUUCCAAAACUGCUGCGCUUGAGUGUGAGAGAGGCUCGUGGAAUUGCAGGUGUAGCGGUGAAAUGCGUAGAUAUCUGCAGGAACACCCGUGGCGAAAGCGGCGAGCUGGAUCACUACUGACGCUGAGGAACGAAAGCUAGGGGAGCAAACAGGAUUAGAUACCCUAGUAGUCC